CACUCUUGGAGACAUCUAGAAGAGGGUAUCUUGCUACAAUUUCAGCUUCGAGUUACUCUUUUGUCUCCCUGCUUCGGCACUUUCUUCCAAUAAUGAAUCCAGGUUUCUUUCGAUUCCAUGAAAACAAAACAAUUGCAUGUUCCAUUUGUGUGUAUAUUUCAACUUGAGAUCCUGACAAGAACAUCAUUAUCAAUCCAUCAUUAUAUCUUCUUCUUUACGCACAGAAUAAAGCAAUGCUAGUAGUUAUAAUAAAACCCAAAAUAAAGUUAUCAAACAAUUCCUUUUCUUGUUGGCACAUAGAUUUUAUAUCUCAUCUUCACUUUGUUUUGGAUGUCUCCGUUAAACAUGGCAAGCGGUGCUUCAAUAUCUUUGACAUACAUAGCUUCCUAAAGGGCAAUCCCAGGAUACGAAGGUGGAAUGAGCUCAGCAAAAGCUGCAUUGGAGAGCGAUACAAAAGUGCUGGCUUUUGAACUGCACUUGCUUGCCACAAAGCAUCAGGUGCCCUCAAGAGUACUGGGAAGAAUGUCGACAAACUAAAAAAAUGAAGAG
This is a long non-coding RNA of Zingiber officinale, 549 nucleotides long. RefSeq lists it as uncharacterized. The record is from RefSeq and is a predicted model, not a curated record. The transcript is spliced from 4 exons. Lineage: Eukaryota; Viridiplantae; Streptophyta; Magnoliopsida; Zingiberales; Zingiberaceae.